GCGUGCCUUAUAUGCCUUUUUUAGGUUCUCUUCUUCUCCGGUGUUUCUGUAUCUCGGUUCCUUCUCUGAGUUGUCUCUGUUGCUUGUAAGUUUGGAUUUUGUAUUAUUUGGUUGUCUGUCUAUCCUGUUCAUCUGUCUUUGCGUCGUAAGCUCUUCUCAUCACGUGAUAGUCAUCUGUAUGAUUCAUCAAUUUCUGUAUGUUAUACAUGUUUUUAUUAGCUAUGAUGCAACGAAAAGUUGACUGUUGAUGAUCCAGGUGUUGUUUUGCUUUGGAUUUUGAGUAAGUAGCUGUUUGUUGUAAGGUGAGUUUCGAUUUAAUGAGAUUUGUAACCUAAUGCUUCGAUUGUUAGUCGUUUUGAAGUUUUUGUCAAGGUAUUGAAAUAAUCUAUGUUUGUUUAUUUGCUUUAAAACUAAAAAGCCAACGACCCUUUCUCUUCCGCCACCGCUACGGAACCCUCAAUUAGCCGUCAUUGUCUUCCACCCUAUCCUACUUUGAGGGGUUUCCUUCACUAAGAUGCAUCUCACAACUAUUUUAUAUAUCUUUUUUAGAUUUUAAAAGUGAAUUCUAUAUAUUUCUUUUCUAGAUUUUAAAAUAAAAUAUUUAUCCAACUAAAAAAUGUAAAUCAAAGACAUCCGAUAUAAAUUUAAAUCUCUUAUGCAAUCCAUUUAAUUUUUAAAAAUAUAUGUUGAGAUGUAUUCCCACUUUACCUUUUAUAUUGAAUAAAUGUAUAAUAGUUUUUGCGUUUGUGUUGCAGGAGCUGGUACUACCCGAUCAAGUUAGUAUACAAUAUGUUUUGUAUUUGUUUGUUUAGUUGUCUGUUAAGUAAGUUUUUUGUUAGUUAAAACCUUAGUAGAAUCAAUAUCUACGUUAUGUUUACCUCACGAAAAUGGUAUGUACACCGAUGAAUAUAUUCCUUAUAUCUGCUCUUACUAAAUCAAUAUUUUAUAAUAUACUAUACUAAGUUACAUGUAUUUAUUAAAUACAGCAAAGCAAUUUUACAUGCAAAGAAUGGGUAACUGAAAUCACUCUAAAUCGUAAAUGGUUUCGUUUGUGAGGACGAUGGUUGUGUUACUUGCCCUGUUUUCAUGUAAACUUCAUCGUCAGAUUUUACAAAAAAUAAUAUUUGGUUCAUGGUAUAUUCAGUUUUGUAUUUAAUCUUCUCAAAUUAUCAGGUACAAUGGUACAAAUGUUGGAAAAAUCAUGCUAUGACAUGGUGGUCAAGGAUGGAUAUACGAUCCAGAAAUCAUGCCUAUAGAAAUCUUUAAUAUUCCCAAAGAAUUACACCUAUUGAUGUGUCCAUAAGAGAACCGAACAAUGGCUAUGAACAAAGCUAUCUAUAUUCCCAGCGACCCCAGAUCCUAAAGCAGCGACAUUAAAAAAAGAAUGCAACGAUCACCAGUUCCAUAGAUAAUGAAACAACAGGAAGGCAAGCAAAACAGUAAAAGGAUACUGGGCAAGGCAAUUUUUUGGGUGGCCGAAACAACUCCGGAUGCAUCUAACAAGAUGGGCAUUUUCCAGUGAUAAAUUCCAGCCUACAAGUAGAAUACGAUGUGGUUAGCCUUCAUAGGCAGCGUAUCAUAUGCCAUUUUAUCAACGUGCAGGUCAACUGGGACGAAUUACAAAGGUAGUAACUUUUGUGUUAAAAAAAACAUGACAAGGACACUGAUGUUAUUAGAAUAUAACCAAAGUAUUUAAUCUAUAGUUUGCAAUAUAAAGCAACCAACUUUGCUUCACAAAACAUAGUGAACACCUAAUACGUCAGGUUAUUCAUACGAUGUUUGCGAUAUACCUAUACGCGUUCCAUUCAAUGUUUGUGACAUACCCGCGCCGCAACGCGCUCGGGUCUGACCACUAGUUAGUAAGAAGAAGAUAGCUGCAAUAAUAUAUGGGGAAGCCAUUUGAGAGAAUGGAUUUGAUGAUGGGUAUGAAGUUGAAAGAUGGAAUGCAAAUAAAAGGGCAUGAAGGAGGCUUAUAUAGUGUUUGAGGUAAGCCGCGUGGUGAAGAUGUCUUUGUUUGAUCAACAGUUGUAUGAUGGGCUGACUUUGUCCUUUGCUCGUUCACGCAUGGAAGCUCAGCAAAAUGUUAAAAUUUGACAUUCUCACCAAGUCAAUAAAGUUACUCCUCUAUUCAAAUAUUAAACUAACACAUGCAUCCACUACAGCACUACUUUUCUUUUGUCCCAAGAUGACUACAUAUAUAAAAGAGUUUACUAGCUAUAAAUAACAUUAUAAAUGUUAUUAAUAGUUAUAAGUUAUAUUAUGACAUGUUUAUAAAUAUAGCGAUCUAAUAUAUUUAUUUCACACGCUUGACGCUUGCUAGCUUUAAUAUGAUUUUAUCCCAACUCUAGAAGCAAAAUAAUUAGGCUGACAAUAUCAUGAUAAAAAGCCAACUUAUUAUGGAAAAAAAAAAAAACUGUGUAUAAAUUGUUUAAUUAUGAGAUUAUGAAACACUGUUAAAAUUUAAAAACACCAAAGUGUGAAUUUAAAGAUAUCUGAAAUGAUAUUUUUUCAUAUAGCGCAUGGUUGAAUUCUUAAUAUUGAAUUGUUAGAUUUAGUUUGAUAAUGAGUGAAUCUUCUUCUUUAGGUCAUAUGAAAUAAACAAACUCGAAUAAUUAUAAUAGAUGAUUUGUUUUCUAAUCAUAUGAGUGACUUGGUUUAUGAUACUUAAUGGUCCUAAUUAUAAUCAUGGAGUUGGUGUGUCCUGUAGAAGUAAGAUUAGGAAUAUUAUUCAUUAUAAUCAAUCCUAGUGGAGGUUUUUUUUUUCCUGAAUCAUAGGUGGAUGCUAGGUG
Long non-coding RNA from Helianthus annuus (common sunflower), 2789 nucleotides. RefSeq lists it as uncharacterized. The record is from RefSeq and is a predicted model, not a curated record. Lineage: Eukaryota; Viridiplantae; Streptophyta; Magnoliopsida; Asterales; Asteraceae. The transcript is spliced from 3 exons.